ACGUGAUCUGAGUUCAGACCGGAGUAAUCCAGGUCAGUUUCUAUCUAUAAAAGAGUUUUUUCUAGUACGAAAGGACCGAAAAAACAUGGCCCAUACUUUAUGCAAGCCAUAAUUACUAACUUAUGACCAAAUCUUAAUAAGUACCUAAUCCACCACUAAACUCAAAAAAAGAGUA
Molecule: ribosomal RNA, 175 nt
Filed under: Osteocephalus cabrerai
Lineage: Eukaryota; Metazoa; Chordata; Amphibia; Anura; Hylidae
Description: partial 16S ribosomal RNA
Source: RNAcentral